Molecule: long non-coding RNA, 2551 nt
Organism: Numida meleagris (helmeted guineafowl)
Lineage: Eukaryota; Metazoa; Chordata; Aves; Galliformes; Numididae
Exons: 3
Source: RefSeq, a predicted model, not a curated record
GUCGGGCUCCGCCACCCUGACGCGGUGGCUGGGCGAGGGGCCCAGCAGGCUGCCCGCCUUCGCCAGCCACCAGCUGGGAGUCGCAGGUGCUGUAUUAGAUGAAAACAAUGGAAAGGUGCUGGUCGUACAAGACAGAAAUAAGUUCCCGAGUGCUGUGAAGAUGCACCAAAUCACUGCCUUUGUCCUCCCUCUGCCACACCACAUGAGUUAGAAGAGCCCAAGAAACCUACUCCCUUUCUUGGCUUCAUCACCCAGUAUCCCUUCUGCAUCAAGUUCUAUGUUUCUCCUGUAACUGACCCAAGAGUACCUGAUCUUGUGUUUGGAUCCAUGCAGUCCUCUAGAAAACCCUCGUGGCUUAAAGCAGAUUUUGGGAGACUGUGAUUUUGCUUGGUUUCUAAAAUUCCAGGCAUAUCUGUGGGAUUAAACAAGCAAUAACAUGGUUGGCCAUGACCUGCAGACCACCUGUGUAAAGCAGGUGUAAAGAUCAUUAAUUUCUCACAAACCAGAGUGCUUGACCUCACUACAACGGGUGCCAAACCAGAGAGCAUUAGUGUGGUGGGGGUGGGUUUUGUGAUGUGGCUUGAGGAAACCGAGCAUCCAUCACUGCAAACGUCUUCUAGCAACUAUCAAGCUAACCUAGGUUUUAACACAGCAAGUGCGUAAAGCUCACUAGCUCAUUUGCAGCUGCUUGUGCUAGUCUGUUUAAAAUCCAUUUAGUUUACACCAUGCUUUGAGCAGAAGGAAUAAAUGAAGUAAGCAUCUCUAGUAGAGUGAGGUUAUUUGCAAUUUUAACAUCGAAAAAAAAGUCUCGACAUGCUAACUGAAGUACACAGGGUUGCAUCAUUUUUAUAGUUCCAUUUAAGCCAGAAUCUUACUAGCUAUAUUGUUCUGCUUUUCCUGAAAUAACUACUAAGGAAUUUUUCUCGGAAACCAAGUUAAUCAUCGCUUCAUGGUAACACAGUUAAUGAAAAGGUGCUUUCAUAAGGAGGUUCAGUCACUGAACUUGUAGUGCAAGAGUUGGGAAGAAGAGAAGCAUCCUUUUCUGAUUCCCUAUAGACUACUGAUUUUAUAUUUUUACAUAAAGUAAAAUUUCAAGGACUUCUCUCUGGCAAGAUCUUCAGGCUUUCAUUCAGUAAUUACCAAUUAAAGCACAAAUGCAGUACACAAGGUAUAGGCUCUGGAAAUGUUUUUUAUUCCAGAAAGCCUCUAAGAAAAAGAAUAGUAUGUAAUACAAAUGCUGCAUUUGUUUUUCCUUAAAAUUUCUGUGCAUGUAACAGGGAAAAAGCGCAUGCCGACCUUUCAGUAAAUACCUUAAUUGAGGAGAUCUCAAAGAGUAAAAAUGGAAGUUGCACAUUCUGUGACUUAGAAGGAAAUAGUUGCUUCCUAAGCCCAUGCGACAACAUAGACUUUAAGGUUUAACUUCUUAACUGAGUUACUGUUAAAGCUCACCCACAGCCAUUUUAAGUGCAAACAACUCUAUCCAGUUUUACAGUGAGACAUCAGAUGUUCUGUUGAGGUCCUAGGUCCAAUUCCAUACUCACCAGAAAUUGCUUCCUUAGCCUCUGGUUCCAGAAUGUAACAGGACCAAGCAUGGCAUCGCUGUUUCCUCUGGUUCUGUCUGAAAUGUGGGAUGGGUACAUUCCAGGUCAGCUAUUUCUGCUUACCCCUGUAGAACAAAGCUGUUACUACAGCGGGUGAGUUGAAAGGAGAAAAGUGAUUGUUUCUGUCUCCUCUCCUUACAGCUCAUUUUUAUUGAGCGGACAGAAUUAAGUAUAAAAAUGGAGGUGUGCAAAUACCCAAUGCAGUUCUUAUGCAGCAAGCAGUUAUCUCAGUGCAAGCAAAUUGGCUCAGACAGUUCUUUCCCAGUGCCAGUCCCACCACCCCUCUUUCUCCUCCUUCCUCCCAAAUGAACUAUUUCCCUGAAAUGGGUAAUUACAAAUUAUGGUCUGAAAGGUUUAGAAAUGUUAAGUUUAUGUGCAGCUUUAUAAUACAAGCUCGUGGAUUUUGAAGGGCUGUUUGGGUUUCAUCACGAAAGGACAAUUCCACUGCACACCCAGCAAGAUUUCCAGGAUCUGAAAGCAAAUCUGAAAGCCAGCAAAUCUAUGUACUUUCCAUCUGCACUAUUUUUAAUCUAUUGGUCUUAAUUGCUAUCCAAGCCCUUUACGAGUGCCCAGAAAAAAACAAACAAAAAAAAAUUUUCCAAUGUAAUCAGUGGGGUUUAAAAUCCCUGGAAAGCUGCUCGUAUGAGAAAAGCCAACUUUUUUUUUUUUUUGCUAUCCUACAUUUUUUCUGCCUUAGUUUCUAGUUGAAGGUUAUACAUAUACCUCUUUAAUAUACAUCUUUAAUUCUUAUACAUCUUCCUAUAUACAUCUAGGAAUAAAAAAAGUGAUAUGUAAGGGUAAAAACCUACAGAUCUUUGUGCAUUUGCCAGAGGUGCAGUAACUAGGAUUUUGUAACCAGUAUGGAUUACAGCAUCACAUCUGCAGUUCAUGUUCUGUUUAAUUACUGAACUUUAUUGCAAUUCAAUAAAUGCUUCUAUACAUAAAUCACA